This 933-nucleotide ribosomal RNA is filed under the name Triticum aestivum (bread wheat). RNAcentral describes it as "partial small subunit ribosomal RNA". The record is from RNAcentral. Lineage: Eukaryota; Viridiplantae; Streptophyta; Magnoliopsida; Poales; Poaceae.
AUGAUUCGUUAUGUGCAAGAGUGUUGCGUGCACGAUACUACCCCCACGGGCAAUAUUCUUAACUGUACGCUGAAGAAAGGUUCUUCCUUUGUAUGGCAGAGCAUAUUUGCAGGCAUACAAACCUUCAAGAAAGGAAGCAUCUGGAGAGUUGGGGACGGAACAAAGAUUGACAUUUGGGAGGACUGCUGGAUCCCGAACAGCCCAACAAGGAAGAUAUUAACACGGCGAGGUAACUGUCUGUUAUCAUAUGUGAGCGAUCUAAUCGAUCCUAUAUCAGGUGACUGGGAUGAGCAGAUUAUCAGAGAUAAUUUCUGGAGUAUAGAUGUUGAUCGUAUAUUGCAAAUUCCACUAUCCCAUCAUAUUUUGGAGGAUGUUGUUGCAUGGCACUUUACGAAGAAUGGAGUCUAUAGUGUUCAAUCUGGCUAUUACAGAGAAUGGGAAGAUCAAUAUGGUCUGAAAAUUGGUGGCGACGCAGGACAGUUGAGUACACCGGAUCACCCGGUUUGGAAGAGGCUGUGGAAGUUAAAGCUACCAGGGAAAGUUAAAAUCUUCAUUUGGAGAUGCUUGCAUAACACCAUCAUGUUUAAGUGUACAUUGGCUAACAGGCAUAUUCCCACGAGUGGGCAGUGUCCUAUUUGUCAGCAGGGGGCGGAGGAUACAAAGCACACACUCUUCACAUGUUCCCGUGCUAGGUUGAUAUGGUAUGAGCUGGGCUUGCAAACUGUCAUAGAUGAGGCGAUCCCUAUUGACAGAUCGGGCGCGAGAGUAAUGGAGUCUCUCCUGUGCGAUGACAGGUUUCAACGCAGAUAUAUGGAUGUUAUUACCAUACCUGAAGUUAUAGCCUCCACUAGCUGGUAUUUGUGGUGGCAGAGAAGGGAGCUAGUAAGAGGGGAGCAAGUCCAAAAUCCGGUACACACAGCUAUGGCUAUCUAG